GGGAAAGAAAAAGGCCUAAACUUAGCUUUGCUGUAAGAAGAGCCAACUGACCUAAUCACAGUGGAAGUUCAUUUGAGUUACGGCAGGAUGAGAUGUGCUACUGCUGCCAUUUGUAACUUGUGGUUUCUUGUUAGCUGGCCAGCCCAACACAGGCUAACCAGCUGCUGCCAGCAUCUGUGGACACAGCACAUCCUGAGGCAAUAGGGAGAGCUCUCUGGAGCUCUGCAGCUCUGAAGGCAAAUUCAGGGUGCAGCUGAGAAGUUCAGAAGCUUUUAAGAAGCAUGCAGAUUAGACAGGGAGCCUAGGAGCUGGUGCCCUGUGUGGAUCAAAGCAGUGCUUUGAGGAGAGCUCCAAAUAAGAGGAUCAAUAGGAAAUCAGUACAAGAGACAGGAACCCAGCUGGCUCAGAGUCUCAGCCAAAGUGAGAGACCACUGAAUAUCAUUGAU
Molecule: long non-coding RNA, 446 nt
Filed under: Gallus gallus (chicken)
Lineage: Eukaryota; Metazoa; Chordata; Aves; Galliformes; Phasianidae
Source: RNAcentral